GUGAUACAGAGAAGAUUAGCAUGGCCCCUGCGAAAGGAUGACAUGCAAAUUCGUGAAGCGUUUCCACAUUAU
Molecule: small nuclear RNA, 72 nt
Filed under: Sander lucioperca (pikeperch)
Lineage: Eukaryota; Metazoa; Chordata; Actinopteri; Perciformes; Percidae
Source: RNAcentral